This is a non-coding RNA of Podarcis lilfordi (Lilford's wall lizard), 2514 nucleotides long. The record is from the annotation of a GenBank genome assembly. Lineage: Eukaryota; Metazoa; Chordata; Lepidosauria; Squamata; Lacertidae.
UGCCUCGUGACCUGCCCUUGUCCCAUCACUAAAAUGCAGUGAACGACGCUAACCCAUUACUAGUGUUGAAGCAAGAUUCAGCUGCCAUUCUGGUUGGCUUCUGUAUGUGGAAUGGGGAGAGGGUACCACUUUGUCCUUGCCUCUCAGGCAGCAAAAUGUCUUGAGCCAGCUCUGCCAAUGGAGCUGUACAGUUCACCUGCAUGUCUGGGAUUGGGGUUAAGGGAUGGGAGAACAGUGAAGGAAAAAGCCAAACUGCAGAGAUGGGGGGGGGGGGAGCAGAGGGAGCAGUCAUGGAAAAGAAGAAAGAAUCAAGUGGUUAUUGUUGCUAAUUUAUUUAAUGGAGUUAUUAAGCCUGGUUUUCAAAAAGGAGAUUACAGUGUACUCUAAAACAAAGAGUAAAAAGCUAACAAAUGCAGGGCUGUAUGCGACUGACUUCUACUCAGAGUAAGCCCACUGAAAUGAAUGAGUUCUAAGUUAGACAUGCCUAAUAACUGCAAAGGGUCUAUUAUGAGUAAGACUAGCACGGGCUACAACUCACAAUCAACAAUAUUCAGGACCUGAGCCACUAAUAGAAAAAAUAAGAGCAGCAGCAGAUAAAAGCGCAAUAUGACAAAAUCAACCAAGUGCAGACUGGAUUAAAUAAGCCUUUGGCCAGCAAAGGGGAGUGGCAUACUUCCUGGGAGAGGCAAUUCCAAAAAUUUGGUGCCACCCCAUAAAAGGUCCUGUCCCUGGUCUCACUUCAUAAGAAAGCUGUGUGUGCCUGUUAGUAGUAAUUAAAGAGACACUCUCCAAGGUGGGAAAAGAUUCUCAGAUGUUGUUCCAAUGCACAUCUGAGAAUACAUUAUUUAAUUAUUCUCUCUUUCAACUGUGUAAUGGAUUUUUAAACUGCUUUUCAAGAACAAUUAUCUUCCCAUGGCAGACUAGCAGCUGUUCACAGGGGACGUGAGAAAUGCAGGAUGCUUGCAGUGGAACCUUUCACCAUGGCCAUCAAUAGGCUGAAUAACCUGAUACUUGUGUAUUUAAAUGGCAUUUCUAUCUUUCACACAUGCUCACAGACAGCAGGUUGGGAGAGGCACAAAAGUAUCUUAAGUGCCAUGUGUGAAAUAUUCCUAAAUCCCGGUGGGAGUACAGUGUCUGACACGUCCAUAACUGAAAGCUCUUGGCUACAUCUGAGCCUCCUUGGCAGAUAUCUUUCCUGUUUCAUGGCACUUAACACCCACUGCAGGGAUUUCUGAACAAGCACGGUUGGCAAUGGAAGAAGAUGCAUGCAGAGGAAGGAUGGGGCAAGCGAGGCAGAGGAAAAGUGCAGAAAGGGAAGAAGAGACAGAUAGCAUCAUAGCUCUCAAGGGUAUUACAUUGUUCUAGGGACAAUCUGGGAGAGGGCAUUGCUGUAAAGAAGGAAAAGAGUUUUUCUGGGGUGGGGUGGGAAGCUGCAAAUCUAGAAACAGUUCAGUCCAAUUCCUAAAAAUAAUCUGAGUCUUACAGCACUGUGCUCAUGGGACUUACUCUCUGGUAAGAGAGCCCUGUUUGGGGACGUUUUUAAUAUUUAAUGUUGUAUUGUUUUUAACACUCGAUUGGGAGCCGCCCAGAGUGGCUGGGGAAGCUCAGCCAGAUGGGCGGGGUAUAAAUAAUAAAUUAUUAUUAUUAUAUAAGAGCCUAUAGGAUUGCAAUCUUAACAAGUUGCACAAAGAGCCCUAUGGGCUCAGAUCACAAGUCCAUAUAGAUCAGCAUCCUGGUUCCAAAAGUUGCCAGCAAUUUCUGCUUUUCUCUCAAUGGCAGCUUAACUGAAAGCCAACAGCUUCCCAUACCCUUGAACUUUGUCUCCCCUUGCAAACCUAUAUUAUCCCCAAAUGCAAUGCCAAUUUUCAGAUGGUAGAAAACAUUUUUUCCAUAGGUUGUAGAUCCCACUCUCAAAGGCUAGAUUUAAGAAUUACUUUAUUCUUUUGCUGAGUCCAUUAUGGAAUGUGUGCUUUUUUUUUCUUCAAUUACAAGGUGAAAUGAACAGUUUUAUCAGUACUGCAAACUGACACAGAAAGAUUUGCUAGAGUUAUUAAUUUUACUCUUUCCCUUGUAAGCCAUAGUUAUAGUUAAACAUGGAACACAGCACAUCGUACAAGCAGGUUUAUUGCAGAGAAGCACGUUUAUUGGACCAGUGGAGGCAGCGGCAGCCACCACCAAUGUCUUGUAAAUGUCAAUUACAACAUCUAAAUGUGCUCUGCAAUUUUCACGCCAAAUUAGAGGACCUAUAACACCAUCUCCUUGCGUAUGAGAUAUGGCAGCCAGCCAAGCGCAUCCAUCACGCAUCCGUGUGAGACCUCAAAUCAAUUCCCCUUUCAAAAAUUCUCUUGCAGGCAAAGGGCUAUGCAGUAUUUCAUGGGGAUGAAGAGGGGCUCAUCAGAUAUUUGUCUUGCAGAGAAAGAGCCUGAUAAGUAAAGCACCUCCAUAGUCUUCCUACAUCGCUGCCUAUAUUUAAGACUGUGAAAAAGACCCAGAGGUGUCUGUAGCCAAAGCCCC